GCGGAUUUAGCUCAACGGUAGAGCGUCAGUCUACCAGACUGAAAACGGAGGUUCGACCCCUUCAAUCCGCUCA
RNAcentral lists this transfer RNA (73 nucleotides) under Caudoviricetes sp. RNAcentral's name for it is "tRNA-Gly". It matches the Rfam family "tRNA". From Rfam's summary of the family: Transfer RNA (tRNA) molecules are approximately 80 nucleotides in length. Lineage: Duplodnaviria; Heunggongvirae; Uroviricota; Caudoviricetes. The record is from RNAcentral.